This 1584-nucleotide ribosomal RNA is filed under the name Triticum aestivum (bread wheat). RNAcentral's name for it is "partial small subunit ribosomal RNA". The record is from RNAcentral. Lineage: Eukaryota; Viridiplantae; Streptophyta; Magnoliopsida; Poales; Poaceae.
AUGGAUUCCCCGCGGAUGGAGCAGGUGACUUGCUUGCUGUUAUUACUUAGAAUCCAACUAAUUCCCUCCUGCUCCUCGUUUCGUGUACUGCUGCCGCUUUCUUGCUGCCAGAGGCCGGGGUUCAGUGAGCCGGAGAGUAGCAGUACUACAAUAACAAAUCCAAUGCAAGGAGGAGGAGGAGGAGGAGGAGGAGGCCCCGCGCCUGACGACCAGCGGCCCAAGAGGCCGCCGCACCUCUCCAUCGACAUCCCGGCGGCGAGCAGCGUGCCCCUCACACCGACGGCGGCAGCAGAGGCAGAAGCCGUGGCAGCAACUCCGGGUUCCAACGCCAGCAGAACACCCGGUUCAGGUUCCGGUCCCGGUAAGCCGCCGGCGCCGCAGCGCACGCCGUCCUUCAUGCUGCGGCAGACGGUGCGGAGCCUCCUGCCGGGAGGGGGCAGCUUCAAGUCGUCGGUGAGAGACUACGAGGCCUCCCUCUCCAGGCUUUUCAGCGGGAGGAUCGCCAGGACGUCCUCGCUCCCGGCGGUGGACCACGCCCUGGCGGCCUCCGUGCACGCCGCCGACAAGACGCCGCCCAGCGCUCCUGCCGCCGCCGCCGACAACAAAACUGGCAUGCACCGGUCGCAGUCCCUCCCGAUGAACAUGAAGAAGUUCAGCUCCGCCAAGAGCAUCAAGAGGAUGAACUCGCUCGGCGGCGUGUACCGCGUCGUCCCCUCCACGCCGCGAGCCCCCGCCGCGACCAGCAAUGCCGUGCCGGACAUAGUCCCCACAGAACCAGGGGCCGGAGAGGGGGAGGACGACCACGGGGAGGACAUCGCGGAGGAGGAGGCGGUGUGCCGGAUCUGCAUGGUGGAGCUGUCCGAGGGGGGCGGCGCCAUGAAGCUGGAGUGCUCCUGCAGGGGUGAGCUCGCACUGGCACACACCGACUGCGCGCUCAAGUGGUUCGGCAUCAAGGGCACCAGGACCUGCGAGGUGUGCAAGGAGGAGGUCCAGAACCUCCCCGUCACCCUGCUACGCGUCCAGAGCACGCGCGCCGGCGACGCGAGCCGCGCCACCGGUCCGCGAUACGUCCGGUACAGGCUGUGGCAUGGGACACCUAUCCUUGUGGUCAUCAGCAUCCUCGCAUACUUCUGCUUCUUGGAGCAAUUGCUGGUUGCGCAUAACGGCUUCGCCGCCCUGGCGAUUUCUCUGCCAUUCUCAUGCAUCCUAGGCCUCUUCUCAUCACUCACCACAACAAGCAUGGUGGCGAGGAGAUACGUGUGGAUCUACGCGGCGAUCCAGUUCCUCUUCGUUGUGUUUUUCACGCAUUUGUUCUACAGAUAUCUGCAUUUGCAGGCUGUGAUAUCCAUCAUCCUGGCCACCUUUGCGGGCUUCGGCGUGGGGAUGAUCGGCAACUCCAUCAUCAUCGAGGUGCUGAGGUGGAGGACGAUGGCCCCGGCCCAGCCGCGACGUGCUCACAGGCCACGCGUGGCGCAGCAGCAGGCUCCGACAUCCGGUCAACCUUCAGGCGAGCCGUCAGCCACCGGUGAGGGACAGCGUAGCGCCACCGUCGACAUUGAGAAUCCAGCCGCCCCUCAAGCAUAA